Molecule: transfer RNA, 72 nt
Filed under: Camelus ferus (Wild Bactrian camel)
Lineage: Eukaryota; Metazoa; Chordata; Mammalia; Artiodactyla; Camelidae
Rfam family: tRNA
About the family: Transfer RNA (tRNA) molecules are approximately 80 nucleotides in length. Their secondary structure includes four short double-helical elements and three loops (D, anti-codon, and T loops).
Source: Rfam by way of RNAcentral
GAGGGUAUAGCUCAGUGACAGAAUGUGUGCUUAGCACGCACAAGAUCCUGGGUUCAAUCCUCAGUACCCUCA